UGGGGAAUCUUGCGCAAUGGGCGAAAGCCUGACGCAGCGACGCCGCGUGAGUGAUGAAGGCCCUCGGGUUGUAAAGCUCUGUGGAGAGGGACGAAUAAGGGCUGGCUAAUAUCCAGUCUGAUGACGGUACCUCCUUAGCAAGCACCGGCUAACUCUGUGCCAGCAGCCGCGGUAAGACAGAGGGUGCGAACGUUGUUCGGAAUUACUGGGCGUAAAGCGCGUGUAGGCUGCCUCGAAAGUCAGGUGUGAAAGCCCUGGGCUCAACCCAGGAAGUGCACUUGAAACUUCGAGGCUUGAGUUCUGGAGAGGGUGGCGGAAUUCUCGGUGUAGAGGUGAAAUUCGUAGAUAUCGAGAGGAACACCGGUGGCGAAGGCGGCUACCUGGACAGAAACUGACGCUGAGACGCGAAAGCGUGGGGAGCAAACAGGAUUAGAUACCCCCGUAGUCC
RNAcentral lists this ribosomal RNA (448 nucleotides) under uncultured bacterium. RNAcentral describes it as "bacterial SSU rRNA". It matches the Rfam family "Bacterial small subunit ribosomal RNA", at positions 355 to 796 of the family's 1533-position model. The record is from RNAcentral.